CUUUGAACUAGCUGUCAGAUAACUGCGAGUACUCUCAGAUCUGUUCAUUGCGUCUUUUUGUGUCGGGAUGUAUAAGUACCCGGCCACGUCUACUUGUAUGUUUGCCCAUCUUAUGGGUUAAGCCUUUUUCAACUGAUUUUUAUAGUUCGUUCUUAUGUUGUACUGUUAUACAACUGUCCCAGGUUAGGGGGAGGGUUGGGAUCCCGCUAACAUGUUUAACCCCGCCACUUUAUUUAUGUAUGUGCCUGUCUCAAGUCAGGAGCCUGUAAUUCAGUGGUUGUCGUUUGUUUAUGUGUUACAUAUUUGUUUUUCGUUCAUUUUUUUUACAUAAAUAAGGCCGUUAGUUUUCUCGUUUGAAUUGAUUUACAUUGUCUUGUCGGGGCCUAUUAUAGCUGACUAUGCGGUAUGGGCUUUGCUCAUUGUUGAAGGCCGUACGGUGACCAUUAGUUGUUAAUGUCUUGUGUCAUUUUGGUCUUUUGUGGAUAGUUGUCUCAUUGACAAUCAUACCACAUCUUCUUUUUUAUAGUAG
Molecule: long non-coding RNA, 529 nt
Filed under: Mytilus galloprovincialis (Mediterranean mussel)
Lineage: Eukaryota; Metazoa; Mollusca; Bivalvia; Mytilida; Mytilidae
Source: RNAcentral